UCCUGUCCAGUGAUUGAGUGAACAGUAGCACACAUUUCUUCACACAACUGACCGACUCACAGGCUGGAAAUUUCCAGGAGCUGGCUGCUAUUCGCCACCCACAUGGCCACACUAAACUUGACACUUUGGGAGCCUUUAGCGGCAUGGGUAUUAUCCAGCUUCAGGACCAGAGAAGCCCAUUUAUCCUAACGUGGCACUGGCUACAUUAGUUAAAGCCUAAAAACUACAUAGACAUUGGGCCCUGGUUUGAGACUGGAACUUUUGAAGGACAUCUCCACUUUAUUGGGGUGGGUUAUAAUAGACACAUAAUCAGUCUUGAUUGGGAAGGUUGGGCUGGGAAAAGUUCUAGGGACCUGAGACAAAAAGGCCAGUUUGAGCGGCCUCGUGCUGGGUUGAUGUCAGGCCUAAUGACUGGAGGUGAGUCUAGAAGCAGCUAGGGGCAGUGUGUACAAGGACAGAGCUUCAUUGGCACCUUGCCCAUGUGGAAGAGAGUGCACAGGCCGCCUGCUGCGACGGCUGUGUUAUGGGCUUUACUUAUAUGCUCUUUUGUGCAGUUGGUCCUUAAUUGGAGUUUUUUGUUGUUGUUUUAAAGAUGAAGCAAUCUACUUUUUCAGUGAAAUGACUGGGCUUAUGUUUUGGGCCAGCACAUUUUCCUAGUGGGCUUUUCCUAUCUUUAAUACUUUUUUUUUUUAUUUCUACAACAUAUAAAGUAGAAAGGUGUUAUUAUUUCAAGAUUAGGAAAAAACUAGACAAAACUCUUCGUGUUAGAAAAGGCUCAGAAUGCUUGGAAGUGUUCACUUUGGGCAUAGUUGACACAGCAUACAAUAUCAUGACUGUAUAAAUGUGUGAGCCUCCAGGGUCACUGCUGGGGCUGCAGCCUGGCAAAUGGGGUGGAGUGCACCCCCAGGUCGUCAACAUCAAAAUCUAGGCCCAGCUCAGCCACCCUGUGAGCAAAUGGGGGCGAGAGCUGAAGCUUUGACCUGUCCCUGGCUACUGUUCAGCCCAGCUGGUGAGGAAAACGUGUUAACAUUCCAUUAAGAGCUGUAAACUUCGGCGAGAUUCUUCACUCUGUCUCUCUCGGUGACUGAGAAGGGCCUGCACACUAGGAAACCACAGGGGUGGGAGCAGCGAUGACAGGGGUGGUGAAGGUUGUGUUCAUCUGGACACCUGUUUGGGUUGUCACCCUCACACUUUAGGGGUCAUUAGGCAGUGCAUGUUAAAGCCAUCACGUCCAUGUAGCAAAGAAAGCCAAGAACAAGACUUACAGAAAAGCAUGGUGUUGCAGGGUCAGGAUCUCACUCUGCGGCAUUAUCCUGGCUGGUACUCACAGAAACCCACCUGCCUCUGAGUCCUGAGUACCAUCAUGCCCAACCAAAAGGUGUUGUUUUUAAGAUAUGGAAACUCUUAGUUUCCUUCAAGGCUAGUUCAGCUCCAAGCCCCUUCCCAACACCCCGUGUCUGUCAGAGGCAGGAAGUGGCCAGCUACACUGCGGGGUUGGGGCACUUGUGUGCUCAGCCCUGGAAAAGCUACACGUGGCUCUCUCUGUGCUUGGCAGGAAGUCGUCUGAGAGCCAUCUGCAUAUGAAUUUCCAUUUCCACAGUCAUUAGCAGUAAUAAACAUCUAGAUGUCCUGCAGAUGGUCAGAACUGGCACCAAGAGAAACAAUUUUGACAGUUUCCUUCUACUAAUAGCACUGCCUCCUAAUUAAUUGCUUCCACUUUAAUGGAAUAAUUAUAGAGCAAAAUUUAAUGACAGGUGGUCACAACUGAAAAAUGUUCUGUCUCCCAGCACAGCUCAGCAAUCCGUCUCUGUGCAUGCUUAGAACCAGGCCGCUUCUCUGAGGUGUCUGGAGACAUUUCUUCUCACUUUGGUGUUCGUCUCUGUUUGGUACAGGAGGCAGACAGCAUGAGCAUGACCACUGGAGAAGAUACUAGGUGCUGUACAGACGUUGCUCCUGACUCCCAUGACCCAGCACACGAGACACUAACGUCAAGAAUGCUCUUCUGACCUUAGCAGGAGUCUAAUUCCUAACAUUUGCUGACUAUUAAAUUGUGAAAAUGUUUCCUCAAA
This is a long non-coding RNA of Rattus rattus (black rat), 2069 nucleotides long. RefSeq lists it as uncharacterized. The record is from RefSeq and is a predicted model, not a curated record. Lineage: Eukaryota; Metazoa; Chordata; Mammalia; Rodentia; Muridae. The transcript is spliced from 2 exons.